This 253-nucleotide ribosomal RNA is filed under the name uncultured bacterium. Its description in RNAcentral is "partial 16S ribosomal RNA". It matches the Rfam family "Bacterial small subunit ribosomal RNA", at positions 524 to 776 of the family's 1533-position model. The record is from RNAcentral.
GACGAACCGAGCGAACGUUGUUCGGAAUCACUGGGCUUAAAGGGCGCGUAGGCGGGUGCUCAAGUCCGUGGUGAAAUCCUCCGGCUCAACCGGAGAACUGCCUCGGAUACUGGGCGUCUCGAGUGUGGUAGGGGUAUGCGGGACUAUCGGUGGAGCGGUGAAAUGCGUUGAUAUCGAUAGGAACUCCGGUGGCGAAGGCGGCAUACUGGACCACCACUGACGCUGAUGCGCGAAAGCCAGGGGAGCAAACGGG